This is a long non-coding RNA of Anopheles bellator, 369 nucleotides long. RefSeq lists it as uncharacterized. NCBI's taxonomy places the organism in Eukaryota, Metazoa, Arthropoda, Insecta, Diptera, Culicidae. The record is from RefSeq and is a predicted model, not a curated record. The transcript is spliced from 3 exons.
UUCCAUUGAAGCAAGCUUUGUUUAAUAAACAAGUGCAAACUGGACGAUUUUAGAAAGUUGCUUAAAUAAACGAUUACAGUUAAAAUGGAUUCCUCGGCAUUGAUUAAUAAAGAGGAUGUUGUUGAAAACGCAAAAAUUUGUCGAUGGUGUCUGUCGAACGAUGAUACUUUGGAGGCUCUUACGCCCGACUAUUCCGGACAAUUUCAACUUCAAAAGCUGUCCGAAUGCACCGGUGCUGAGAUUAAUAUUUUACCUGGAGUUCCAUCGUACUUGUGCACGAAGUGUGAAUCUCGUUUGGAAAAGAUGGAUCGGUUUCGCUGGCGAUGCAAUGAAAAGAAUGAUAUGGUCGAAAAAUUUAUCGAACAGCAC